This 1123-nucleotide ribosomal RNA is filed under the name uncultured bacterium. Its description in RNAcentral is "bacterial SSU rRNA". It matches the Rfam family "Bacterial small subunit ribosomal RNA", at positions 99 to 1241 of the family's 1533-position model. The record is from RNAcentral.
CGAACGGGUGAGGAACACGUGAGAAACCUGCCCUUCAUUUGGGAUAACUCCGGGAAACCGGGGCUAAUACCGAAUACUCCGUCUCGGCGGCAUCGCUGAGCCGGGAAAAAAUUUUGAUGAAAGAUGGUCUCGCGGCCUAUCAGCUAGUUGGUGAGGUAAUGGCUCACCAAGGCGACGACGGGUAGCCGGCCUGAGAGGGCGACCGGCCACACUGGGACUGAGACACGGCCCAGACUCCUACGGGAGGCAGCAGUGGGGAAUAUUGGGCAAUGGGCGCAAGCCUGACCCAGCGACGCCGCGUGAGGGAUGAAGGCCUUCGGGUUGUAAACCUCUUUCAGUAGGGAAGAAGCGAAAGUGACGGUACCUAAAGAAGAAGCACCGGCUAACUAUGUGCCAGCAGCCGCGGUAAUACAUAGGGUGCAAGCGUUGUCCGGAAUUAUUGGGCGUAAAGAGCUCGUAGGUCGUUUGCCGCGUCGAUUGUGAAAAUCUGAGGCUCAACCUCAGACCUGCAGCCGAUACGGGCAAACUAGAGUGUGGUAGGGGAGACUGGAAUUCCUGGUGUAGCGGUGGAAUGCGCCGAUAUCAGGAGGAACACCAAUGGCGAAGGCAGGUCUCUGGGCCAUAACUGACACUGAGGAGCGAAAGCGCGGGGAGCGAACAGGAUUAGAUACCCUGGUAGUCCGCGCCGUAAACGAUGGGCACUAGCUGUGAGAGCCUUCCACGGUUCUCGCGACGCAGCAAACGCAUUAAGUGCCCCGCCUGGGGAGUACGAUCGCAAGAUUAAAACUCAAAGGAAUUGACGGGGCCCCGCACAAGCAGCGGAGCAUGCGGCUUAAUUCGACGCAACGCGAAGAACCUUACCAAGGCUUGACAUAUAGCGAAAAGUGGCAGAGAUGUCAUGUCCGCAAGGGCGCUAUACAGGUGGUGCAUGGUUGUCGUCAGCUCGUGUCGUGAGAUGUUGGGUUAAGUCCCGCAACGAGCGCAACCCUCGUUCUGUGUUACCAGCAUUUAGUUGGGGACUCACAGGAGACUGCCGGGGUCAACUCGGAGGAAGGUGGGGAUGACGUCAAAUCAUCAUGCCCCUUAUGUCUUGGGCUGCACGCAUGCUACAAUGGCUGGUACA